Sus scrofa (pig) is the source of this 5236-nucleotide non-coding RNA. The record is from RefSeq and is a predicted model, not a curated record. Lineage: Eukaryota; Metazoa; Chordata; Mammalia; Artiodactyla; Suidae.
UGGCCGCAGCGGGCCCGCGCCGUGCCGGGCAGGCGGCGGGGCGCACGGACCCCGAGGUUGAAAGGCCGGUAGCAGAUGUUGCAGUCCAGUUCGCCCCGCUCCGGAAGAGACGGCACCCUCACCAGGAGCUGCAUUGUGCCCGCCGCGAACUCGAGGGCGUCGCCAACGCGGCUGGCUCCUAGGACAGAACGAGCGGGCCCGUCCUGGGGCCCGCGCCGCGGCCUCUUCCCCCUUUUAAUAUUGAGAGCCCGCCCGUCGAGGCGUCACGCGAAGGUCGGGCCACUCCCCGCGGCGGCACGCGUGGGGGCGGCGGAGGUGCGAGGACCGGAAUGCGGCCGAUGGCAGAACGGGCGAGGCGACCCAAGUGGCGGCACGACUGGAGAGUCUUCCAGAAGGAGUGGGAGAUGCCGGGAGUGGAUGUGAGUACUCAUUAGUUGUUCCGGUUGGUUGCUAAUCCAGUAAAUGGCGUGCUCCUGCCUUCUCUUUUGGAAACGUUUUCCUCUGCUCCCUCCGCUUCAGGAUCCAGGAAGGCCGAGGACGGAGAGAAGGGAGGUGGUGAGGUUCUAUUUUAAGAGAAGCAGAGCUCAUCCUCUGCUGCCUUGUGAUCUUUAAAGGUGGUGACUGUCCCCCGGCUUUCUGUCCCAGGGCAAUCAGAGUUCUUUGGGGAAGAGUGAGGCCAAGUGUCUGAUACAAUCCCAUUUGAUUCUGCUUUUUUGCCACCCUCACGCCUGAGUUUUCACUUGUUUUCUUGACAAUAACUCUUUCCCUCUCUGUGUAUCAUUUCAGCCAUAGACCAGUUUUCAUGGUACCGCUCCUUCACCAAAUCCCAGAGCCUCAACCUCCGAACAGCCCCACCCACUCAGCCAGGAGAAAGCCACCCCCCAGAUGGUUCCCUGGCAUGUGAGGGUUGUCAGGCAAGAGGGAAAUGAGAAGCAUGGCUAAUGUAACUUUCAAAACAAGCCUAAGAGUGUCAGAUGGUGGAGCAACAAAAGCUAUGAAGCCGGGUCCCUGGGUUGUAGGCCUGUGAUGACUGAAGGAAGAAAAGUGGCCUGGCGUCUCUGGUGCCUGGGCCCUCGGUGACAGGGUGACCAGGAGCACGAAGCCAGGUCACUGGGGUAAAUGAGCAGUGGAGAGAAAAGGCAGUACUGGAGCUUUCUGUUCUGUUCUUUUUUGUUGUGUUUUAAUGAAGUACUGGAUCUUUCUAGUGGUGGGGGACUGCAGGGCCAGAUGUGUGAGACAGAUCCUCAACCCCAGCAAUCUGAGACGCGGCAGGUGAUGAUGAAGCUGCGAUUUUAUUUACAGUUCCCUGGGAAGUCUUACACGGGAGGGGCCUUCCUUAGUGCUUUGAGAGCAUUGCGGGGAGGAAGGCCGCAGCCCCCCACCGCCCGGUGGGAAGGCCUGCUCAGGGCUCCUCCUUGAACUUUGUAUGUCAGCGCCAGUUCUCUGCUGUGACUUGAUGGCUGUCCCUGUUGCCUGUGAAGCGGCACAACUGCUUUCCCAGGGUCUUCCUGGCCACUCUUGCCAGGACACGCUGUCCAUGGGCCAUCUGAUUUCCCUAGUGCCACCGUACUCCCCAUCCUGCCCCUCCGGGCAACAACAAAGUAUCACCACUAGUUCUUGUUUUAAGCCCUCCUCUAACUCCUGGCUGAGGCUGGGUCCUGGUUUCCCAAAGAUUAUCAUUUACGUCCUGCCAGGACCAGCCUGGCUUCCUUUGUGUCGCAUAAGGUAAGAGCCCCCAUUUCCUUUGUUCCAGAAGACAUCAUAGCCCACUUCUUUUUAGGUUGUUACCCCUUGAUGACAUUUCAGGGGCCACUUUUGAGGUACUCUGCGUGGGUCUUGUAUCUUUGCCUGGGUCUUUUUUUCCCCUGGGCCUCGGCAAUUAGGGGAAGAGGGAAGGGAGCGAGACCAGCUGGUGGAGAAGGGGCCGCCCAGUAGCUCCAGCCCAGGAUUAGCAAGAGGGCCUAGGAGAACGCGGCAGGGGGCGGCGGACUACUUUUCCUCUCAGGCCCCACUGCGGGAGGAUAUGGCUUGGUUCAUGCGACCGCUACUCGAAGCCGAAGCCGGAACUCAUUAGUGGGCGGGGACGCCUUGGCUCCGCCGCUGCCGCCGCGGCUGCCGCUGCGCGGAGGGAUCCCGAGCAGCGAGAGGGAGGCGGGGAAGAGCGACUGGGGCUGGGGGCGGGGGUGCAGCGGCUCCGGUCCCCGACGGACUACUUCUUGGGAUGCGGUUUGUUGCUCAGGAGUCCGUCAAUCUCCAUCACGGUCUGCGGAGUCAGCUGGCUCAGCACCUGGAGGAAUACGGGGUCCUGGAGAGGGCAGUACACGCAGGGUCGCUGCAGAAUGGGUGAGGUUCAAGGACCCCGGGAGGCCAACUGGCAGGCAAAGAGUCGCAGCUGUGCCCCUGCCUCACCUUGUCCUGGGACUCCUCAUCUGCAAAGCGAGGGCCUUGUAGUGGGUGACCUCACAGGCCCAUUCUGAGUUAGAUGCCGUGACUACUGGGGAAGGGGACAGAGAUGGGCUCGGGCUCUGAGUUCCCCCGCACUCACCUGUAGGGCGCCCAGGUGUUCCAUCAGCUGCUCUGCACUGGACACCCCCAGCAAGACCGAGCUGACACCCUCACUGCGGAGACACCACGCUGAGCCAGAGAAGGGAAAAGAUAGCAAGAACUGAUGGGAAACAGUGAGCACAUAGACUUCAGCAGUGUCUGGGAGGAGGAGGCCCUCCCUAGGGACAAACCAGCCUGCGGUUGUGUUUUUAGGGCCACUCCUUGUGUUUUUAGGGCAUGUGGAAGUUCCCAGGCUAGGGGUCUAGUCAGAGCUGCAGCUGCAGGCCUAUGCCACAGCCACAGCCACACCAGAUCCAAGUUGUCUGCGACCUACUCUGCAGCUCACUGCAACACUGGAUCCUUAACCCACAGAAUGAGGCAAGGGGUGGAUACCUUAUCUUCAUGGAUACUAGUGGGGUUGGUUACAGCUGAGCCACUACAGGAAUUUCCAGACUGCAGUUUGGUAGCACCUCAGGAGGAGACAGGGCUCCUGCAGGGCCCAGGGCUGGCAGUGUCUCACCAAUAGCAAGCUGUGCCACAGUGCAGCCCAGCUGGUGAGCGAUGGGGAGAAGGUCCAUGACUUUGGCUUGUUGCUUCUUGCCGUCCUCACUCUGCACUUUCCUGUCUUUGAGCCACUGGUAGCCCUGGAGGCCAAGGAGAAUCAGCAAAAGACCGCUUCUCAGAUAGUCUACUCUGUCCAUCCUGAGCCCCCCAGUCUCACCUUGACGGUGACCUUGCAGGUGUCUGGGACUUGCCCGUCAUACUUGCUAGUGAUGAGGCCACAGGCCAGAGGGGACCAGGUGACUGAGCCAACACCUACGAGGAAGAAGAUUGGAUGUGGGGAAGGGAUCUAGGCGAUGGGGAGGCCGAGGGAAAAGUAGGGAUGAGGGGACUUCGAACCAAUCUUGUGGUAGAGCUCUGGCAGCUGCGUCUCCACCUUCUCUCUCUGGAACAGAUGGUGCUCAGCUUGUUCACACACUGGAGGAAUCAGAUUGAACUGUCUGGCCAUGGAGUAGGCUUCCUGGGUUGGGGUGCAGAAGAGACGGGGGUCAGAGCUUGGCUUCCACUUUCUCCCACUCCCCCCCGCCUCCAGUAGAGUGGGGUUUGGAGCAGUCAUGUGAAAAGAGGGAACAAAUUGUGGGACGGGGGAAGUGGCUGGCACACUCACCAUGAUUUCUGCAGCCCCCCAUCGGGAUGUCCCCCAGUAUAGGGCCAGGCCCUGGUUGAUGACAUAGGUCAUGGCUCGCACGAUCUCUAGGCACAUAGGAGAGGGAGAGCCUCGUGUCAGACCCCUGGCAUCCUGGGUGCCAGAUCUGCAGACGUCUGCCUGCCCCACUAAGACCUCACUCAACCCUCUGAAGUCGGAGAGGUUGGUAUCUGCUCUUAACCCCCUUCCCUGUCCAAGUCCUGGGGUCUGAGCCUCCACUGUGGAGCUUGGGAAGCCUCCUGAGCAGGGGUGGCUUCAACUGUAGGUUUGAGGAGGACUCAGUUUUGAAGCUGUCAGGGUUGGGGUGCUGCUUUUACCCUCCAUGGGACUGUUAGGGUCUGAGCGAUUGGCAAAGACGAUGUCCACGUAUCCCAGCUGGAGGCGCUCCAGGGAUCCUCGCAAGCCUGGGGUAGGGGUGGGGAGAGGAAGGUAAGCUCUUCUGCUUCAGGUUCCUAAGAGUUGAGACCUUACCCUUUUGCCAUGGCCACCUAAAUCCCAGCUUCCCUAUUUAAAGCCUCAGACGCAGAGCUUCAGAGAAUGUUCCCAACUCUGGCUUCCAUAUCCAGCUGCCUCAGGUUCCCCAGCCCCUCACUCUCACCUUCAAUGAUAUGUUUGCGGCUCAGGCCUCGCUCGGUUUCUGCUCUGUAGGAAAAGGUAAGUCAAAGAUGAGGUGUGUCAAAGAUAAGGGACCAGGGCUGGCCUGGAACCACGAGGAACUGGGAUUGUGGGGCUCCUCAGGGGCAGGAUGUGGAGCUGGGGCAGCAGGUGCAGGGCUGCUGGCCGCCUCCCCCUUCCCAUGCACCCUCACGUAGUCUCCACACGUCUUCUCCCCAGGUGUAGCGAGGCAGCCACUUACUGUCCUCCCCAGAAAAUCUUGGUGGCGAUAACGUAGCUUGAUCUCCUGGAAAAAAAGAGAAGUGAGAGAAUCAGCAAGAAAAGGAUUUUUGGAUGAUCUUGCUCCCGGCAAGCCGCCCCCGCCAAAAAACCCCAUGUCUUACCUCCAACCUUUGUUCUUGAGGAUGUUGCCGAGGGUCCUUUCAGCCCUGGAAGGAAGACAGUGCAGAGACACUGAUCCCUCCUAGGCCAAGACAGGACACCCGAAGACCAGACUUUCCUAGGUUCCUAAAGGAUACAGAAGCAGCAGGAAGAGGUGGAGACUCCAUUAGGGACGUAGAUCAUCAGCCUCCAGCUCCUCUUUCCAGCCUGAGAUGCCCUCAGGGUAUCUCAGUCCAAAGAAAUUGGACUCCCUAUCCGAACUGGACAGUGCUAUGGCUAUAGCAUAAGUGAACAAAUAAUGACUCUUCCUCUGUAGCCACUGUCCAAUGCCUCUGUUCCCUCCUAGCGCAUUGAAGACAUGCUGUCUGCUUAGUGUUUCUUCCGGUGGGUCUUAUCUGUGUUUGAGUCAUCUCUGGGAUGUGGAGUUGCGGGCGGAGGGUGGCUGGAAGGAAUGUGACUGGCUGAUUGUAUUGAAUUUGUGAAAACAGA